UGCCCUUGGCCUUCAGCUCACCUUGAGGAUUUCCUUGCCCUUUGCAAGAGGAUCUACUGCCCAGAUUCUAUGCUGGGGAACAGACUGCUGCCUCAGAGGGAGAUGACCAGGUGGAGAGGACCGUGCCGGACCACACUUGGGACACCUCUGGCCUCCCUUCUUCAGGCCUCCCCCUGGAGCACUUUAUCCAGAACGUUGUCCACAGUGCAUUGAGUCAGGAUGGGCUUGAGGCUCACAGCACCAGGCCAAGUCCCUCCAAACAAUCCCAGCCCUAACAUUUCAAAAUGAAUUAUAAUGAUACAGUUCAGAAGCUUCUUAACCUCAAUGAGAUGCCACCUGUCAUCCACUAAGAUGGCAGUUACUAUUAAAACAACAAGUGUUGGUGAGGAUGCCGGGGAGCAGGAUGGGAAUGUAAGACGGAACAGGCACCUGGAGAAUAGCACAAGGCCUCCUCAAGAAAUUAACAAUAGAAUCAUCACAGAAUUCAGCAUUUCCAGAAGAAUUAAAAGCAGGAUCUCAAAGAUUAUGUCUUUGUAUGCCUUUGUUCCUAGGAGUCUUAUUCACAAUAAUUUGUGACAGUUAAAUAUGGAAGUAACCAAA
Molecule: non-coding RNA, 600 nt
Organism: Ictidomys tridecemlineatus (thirteen-lined ground squirrel)
Lineage: Eukaryota; Metazoa; Chordata; Mammalia; Rodentia; Sciuridae
Source: RefSeq, a predicted model, not a curated record